This is a long non-coding RNA of Esox lucius (northern pike), 1036 nucleotides long. RefSeq lists it as uncharacterized. The transcript has 3 exons. The record is from RefSeq and is a predicted model, not a curated record. NCBI's taxonomy places the organism in Eukaryota, Metazoa, Chordata, Actinopteri, Esociformes, Esocidae.
UCUUUCUCUCCCCCUCCCCCAGGUGCGACUCACACACAAGUAAUUGUUGGGGCAGAGCAGGACAGUGGUUGAAUGCUGGAUUGCCACUUCCCACUCUACCCUCGCCGGCGGUUGAUGUUGGUGCCCUGGCUGGCACACAAGGAUUCAGAGAGGGGCGGUGCCUGCGGCCACAAUGAAUAUGCAGCAGGCAGUCCCCGAGGGAGAGGAGGGGCCGGAUGCUUGGCACCACCAAUUUAUUUUCGGGGUCGGACCCAAUGCUCUUUACAUGACCAACCCACUGGAUGUAGUAAACAAGGAGGAGUUGCAUCAGUGACUCUGCAGUGAAUCUGUGUUGCUGAUUCAUCGUGAGGAUGUACUGCAGAGAUUGACAGCUGACGCCUCUCUGUCUAGAUAAUCAUGUCGAUCCAUGAUGGAAAGCCCUGGAUGAGGAGGGUCAAGUGAAGCUGGUGAUCUGUGAGGAAGACUGUGAUGAUGAUCUGCCUAGGAUGAGCCACGUUGUGAUCCCCGCAGCGUAUAGUUCUGGGGUGACGUUCUUCACCAUCAGAGACUCAGACUCAGGGCAGGAGCUUCUCCAUGCUCCUGAACUCCCUUUGCUUUGAAUGACUGGACAGUAGAACAAAUGUUGCAGGUUUUAGACAAUGCAUCACUGAACCUCCCUCUUCAGUGUCAUGCAUUCAGUGUAAUAAAACAUUCGCACAGUUGCAGAUAGAAAUACCAUGAAUAUACCAUGAAUAAAACUUUCCACAGCGUUGGACCCAGCUAAAUCUGUAUUUGUCUAGGAAGAUGUGUUGGUUUUCGCCAAUGAAUGUGAUCUAAGUUGUGUUGGGUUGAAACCAGGCUUACUGCAGAAGGUCAGUCAAGCCUAAUAUAAUACUCUGUCUGGUGUGCAAAUACAUGUUAGUUAUUUUGAAGAUGCUCUUCAAACCAGCAACCUCAUUCUUACUCAAUACUCUAAACACUAGAACCACCCUUAAUGCCAGAUGAGCCCAAUCAAUGUGUUGUUGUGCUUGGGAAAGUGUUGCUGUGCCCAUCUAGC